GACGAACGCUGGCGGCGUGCUUAACACAUGCAAGUCGAGCGGAAAGGCCACUUCGGUGGUACUCGAGCGGCGAACGGGUGAGUAACACGUGAGUAAUCUGCCCCUCACUUUGGGAUAGCCACCGGAAACGGUGAUUAAUACCGGAUAUGACCAUAUGUCGCAUGGCGUGUGGUGGAGAGUUUUUCGGUGAGGGAUGUGCUCGCGGCCUAUCAGCUUGAUGGUGAGGUAAUGGCUCACCAUGGCUUCGACGGGUAGCCGGCCUGAGAGGGUGACCGGUCACACUGGGACUGAGACACGGCCCAGACUCCUACGGGAGGCAGCAGUGGGGAAUAUUGGACAAUGGGCGGAAGCCUGAUCCAGCAACGCCGCGUGAGGGAUGACGGCCUUCGGGUUGUAAACCUCUUUCAGUACCGACGAAGCGCAAGUGACGGUAGGUACAGAAGAAGCACCGGCCAACUACGUG
Molecule: ribosomal RNA, 463 nt
Filed under: uncultured bacterium
Lineage: Bacteria
Description: partial 16S ribosomal RNA
Rfam family: Bacterial small subunit ribosomal RNA
Source: RNAcentral